AUUGAACGCUGGCGGCAGGCCUAACACAUGCAAGUCGAGCGGAUGAAGGGAGCUUGCUCCUGGAUUCAGCGGCGGACGGGUGAGUAAUGCCUAGGAAUCUGCCUGGUAGUGGGGGAUAACGUCCGGAAACGGGCGCUAAUACCGCAUACGUCCUGAGGGGGAAAGUGGGGGAUCUUCGGACCUCACGCUAUCAGAUGAGCCUAGGUCGGAUUAGCUAGUUGGUGGGGUAAAGGCCUACCAAGGCGACGAUCCGUAACUGGUCUGAGAGGAUGAUCAGUCACACUGGAACUGAGACACGGUCCAGACUCCUACGGGAGGCAGCAGUGGGGAAUAUUGGACAAAGGGCGAAAGCCUGAUCCAGCCAUGCCGCGUGUGUGAAGAAGGUCUUCGGAUUGUAAAGCACUUUAAGUUGGGAGGAAGAGCAGUAAGUUAAUACCUUGCUGUUUUGACGUUACCAACAGAAUAAGCACCGGCUAACUUCGUG
RNAcentral lists this ribosomal RNA (484 nucleotides) under uncultured bacterium. RNAcentral's name for it is "partial 16S ribosomal RNA". It matches the Rfam family "Bacterial small subunit ribosomal RNA", at positions 30 to 507 of the family's 1533-position model. The record is from RNAcentral.